GACAGAGGGUGCAAGCGUUGUUCGGAAUUAUUGGGCGUAAAGGGCGCGUAGGCGGUCUGUUAAGUCGGGUGUGAAAGCCCUGGGCUCACCCCAGGAAGUGCAUUCGAAACUGGCAGACUCGAGUGUCGGAGAGGGUCGUGGAAUUCCCGGUGUAGAGGUGAAAUUCGUAGAUAUCGGGAGGAACACCAGCGGCGAAGGCGGCGACCUGGACGAACACUGACGCUGAGGCGCGAAAGCGUGGGUAG
This 245-nucleotide ribosomal RNA is filed under the name uncultured bacterium. Its description in RNAcentral is "partial 16S ribosomal RNA". It matches the Rfam family "Bacterial small subunit ribosomal RNA", at positions 524 to 768 of the family's 1533-position model. The record is from RNAcentral.